GAUGGCCGGGAGUCCGAGGAGGCCUCCUCCUCCCAAGAAUGCCUUGGAUGACCUCAACAUCAAGGACUUCAUGUAAACCCCUCUAACCCAUCCCUCUGAGAGGUUGUUGUUAUGUCUGGAGCUGUGGAUGUGGAUGUGUGCACCCCCCGUCUCCCUCCUGUCACGCCCCAGCCCCUUCAGCCAAUCAACCAUCAGCACUACGACCCCUGUCCUCGGACUUCCCCGUAACCUCUCUGUCUGCUGUUGUAGCAAAAACCGUGGCUGUGAGUCAUAGAUACAGAAAACUAAACUGUGUAUGAGUGUGUGUGUACUUCAAUGUUAUCCUUUACCUAAACUAAGAAAAAAAAUUACCAUAAAAAAUGAGUGUAUUUAGAUUUGUUCUGGAACUCCCAUGUGUCAGCUGACCUGGAAUGGUGGAUCUGUGUUGAUUUUCUUGCGCGUUUCCCAGACGAGGAUUGUGUUGUUAACCGUGGACUGUGUUCGGUGUGUGUAAACCUCACUGGCCAAUCCCUGCCCUAUCCUCUCCCUCACUAUCCAAUCAAAUUCUGUAUAUUGCUGUCUUUCUAACAUCAUUCAACACUUAGUUGUACUCUUCUCCAUUAAUUGAUCCACCCAGCCUCUUUGAGAACAGAUACAGUUAUAUUGAUGAAUAUUGAAAUAUGUACAACUGUCACCACAAAUCUGGGUUUACGAGAUGACAAAUCAUAUGACAAAAUGUUGUUUUUAUUUUGUCUGUUUUUUUGAUUGUGUGUUACAUGCAACAUUUGUGGACUAUGUUCAAAUUGACAUAUGCAUUUUAGAAUAUUUUUAAGUAUAGAUUAUACAUAUAUUUCUUUAAUCUUUAUUUUGAGAGAAAAUGUAUCAUAUUUUAGUUAUGUCUAUGAAUUCUAAGGUUUUAAAAAAUUCAAGCAGUUUUGAAAAAUAUCUCAUCUGUAUUUGGAGGCAGUACUGAAUGCAAACUCAGCCCCCAGUGUUUACUGUGGCUCUCCCUGUUGGUGCGGAGUGUUACUGCAUUUGACUAUGUCAAGUGAAGUUGAUCUAGGCUGCAUCCAAAUACUUUAAAAAAUCCAAAUGUACUUGUCUCCUUUACUUAACGGCCAAUUAUCUGAAUUGAUAGGUGAAAGGCAAUUGGUGAAACCAACCAGUGGUCAUGAAAUGAAGGAGACAAGGAAAGAAGGUUUGUAAAUAUUGUUGGGACACAGCCCAUGUCAACCUAAAGGCUUAGGUGGCAAACUCAUUCCACGGAGGACCGAGUGUCUGCAGAUUUUCGCUCCUACUUUGUACUUGAUUUAUGAAUUAAGGUCACUAAUUAGUAAGGAACUCCCCACACAUGGUUGUCUAGGGCUUAAUUGAAAGGACAAACCAAAAAAACAGCAGACACUAGGCACUUCAUGGAAUGAUUUUGACAACCCUGACCUAAGGUCAUUGUGGAGCUGUGAUCAGUAGAGUUGUAUUGUCUCCCGUAGCAACACUUCAGAGGUGUUGGGAACUCGUUAGCUGUAAACCGCUCAGAUAUACAAUGGAUGUUCCAUGUGUUGUUUUUCUUCCAAAGUGACUAUCUUAAUCUGUUGUGAAAAAAAGUAUUGACAAAGAAAAAGAGGAAUAAAACGUAUAAAAUAAAAAAUGUGGAUAACAAUAUUUGCUAUAUAUUUGGUUGAAGGCAGUGUUUGGUUCUUGGAUGGCAUCACUCUUCUCUCCCCCACUUGCAUGUGAGUCCCUUGAGAUGCAAUAAAAUAGAAAUACACUGA
Salvelinus sp. IW2-2015 is the source of this 1748-nucleotide non-coding RNA. The record is from RefSeq and is a predicted model, not a curated record. NCBI's taxonomy places the organism in Eukaryota, Metazoa, Chordata, Actinopteri, Salmoniformes, Salmonidae.